This 517-nucleotide ribosomal RNA is filed under the name Priestia megaterium. Its description in RNAcentral is "bacterial SSU rRNA". It matches the Rfam family "Bacterial small subunit ribosomal RNA", at positions 577 to 1089 of the family's 1533-position model. The record is from RNAcentral. Lineage: Bacteria; Bacillati; Bacillota; Bacilli; Caryophanales; Bacillaceae.
GGUUUCUUUUGUCUGAUGUGUAAGCCCCCGCUUUUACCGUGGAGGGUCAUUGUAAACUGGGGAACUUGAGUGCCUAAAAGAAAAGCGGAAUUCCCCGUGUAGCGGUGAAAUGCGUAGAGAUGUGGAGGAACACCCGUGGCGAAGGCGGCUUUUUGGUCUGUAACUGACGCUGAGGCGCGAAAGCGUGGGGAGCAAACAGGAUUAGAUACCCUGGUAGUCCACGCCGUAAACGAUGAGUGCUAAUUGUUAGAGGGUUUCCGCCCUCUUAUUGCUGCAGCUAACGCAUUAAGCACUCCGCCUGGGGAGUACGGUCGCAAGACUGAAACUCAAAGGAAUUGACGGGGGCCCGCACAAGCGGUGGAGCAUGUGGUUUAAUUCUAAGCAUCGCGAAGAACCUUACCAGGUCUUGACAUCCUCUGAGGGCUCUAGAGAUAGAGCGUUCCCCUUCGGGGGACAGAGUGACAGGUGGUGCAUGGUUGUCGUCCGCUCGUGUCGUGAGAUGUUGGGUUAAGUCCCG